GAUGAACGCUGGCGGCGUGCCUAAUACAUGCAAGUCGAGCGAACAGAUAAGGAUCUUGCUCCUUUGACGUUAGCGGCGGACGGGUGAGUAACACGUGGGUAACCUACCUAUAAGACUGGGAUAACUUCGGGAAACCGGAGCUAAUACCGGAUAAUAUUUCGAACCGCAUGGUUCGAUAGUGAAAGAUGGUUUUGCUAUCACUUAUAGAUGGUCCCGCGCCGUAUUAGCUAGUUGGUAAGGUAACGGCUUACCACGGCGACGAUACGUAGCCGACCUGAGAGGGUGAUCGGCCACACUGGAACUGAGACACGGUCCAGACUCCUACGGGAGGCAGCAGUAGGGAAUCUUCCGCAAAGGGCGAAAGCCUGACGGAGCAACGCCGCGUGAGUGAUGAAGGUCUUCGGAUCGUAAAACUCUGUUAUUAGGGAAGAACAUACGUGUAAGUAACUGUGCACGUCUUGACGGUACCUAAUCAGAAAGCCACGGCUAACUACGUG
Molecule: ribosomal RNA, 497 nt
Filed under: uncultured bacterium
Lineage: Bacteria
Description: partial 16S ribosomal RNA
Rfam family: Bacterial small subunit ribosomal RNA
Source: RNAcentral